AAAGACCACUAAUUUAUUUCCUCUUCAUCUUCUACGAAACUCUCUCUGCCCCUUUCAAUAUUGCUCUCAAAUUGCAAGGGUGGAACGAUGGUGGCUGCACGAGAAGGAGGAGUAUGUUGGCUUGAAAAACAAUGGCAGCGACGAUGUUGUGACGGGUUUGCACAAAGGCUUACUGAUCUUGCGGUCGCCGUCGAUUUGGAGGGGUUGA
Molecule: non-coding RNA, 208 nt
Organism: Vicia faba (fava bean)
Lineage: Eukaryota; Viridiplantae; Streptophyta; Magnoliopsida; Fabales; Fabaceae
Source: the annotation of a GenBank genome assembly